AGUGAACGCUAGCGGGAUGCUUUACACAUGCAAGUCGAACGGCAGCGCGGACUUCGGUCUGGCGGCGGGUGGCGAACGGGUGAGUAAUGGAUCGGAACGUGCCCAGUAGCGGGGGAGAACUACGCGAAAGCGGAGCUAAUACCGCAUACGCCCUACGGGGGAAAGCUUGGGAGCGUAAGACCUUGCACUAUUGGGGCGGCCGAUAUCGGAUUAGCUGGUUGGUGAGGUAACGGCUCACCAAGGCGACGAUCCGUAGCUGGUUUGAGAGGACGACCAGCCACACUGGGACUGAGACACGGCCCAGACUCCUACGGGAGGCAGCAGUGGGGAAUUUUGGACAAUGGGGGCAACCCUGAUCCAGCCAUCCCGCGUGUGUGAUGAAGGCCUUCGGGUUGUAAAGCCCUUUUGGCAGGAAAGAAACGCCGCGGGCUAAUACCCCGCGGAACUGACGGUACCUGCAGAAUAAGCACCGGCUAACUACGUG
This 484-nucleotide ribosomal RNA is filed under the name uncultured bacterium. RNAcentral's name for it is "partial 16S ribosomal RNA". It matches the Rfam family "Bacterial small subunit ribosomal RNA", at positions 29 to 507 of the family's 1533-position model. The record is from RNAcentral.